Molecule: ribosomal RNA, 253 nt
Filed under: uncultured bacterium
Lineage: Bacteria
Description: partial 16S ribosomal RNA
Rfam family: Bacterial small subunit ribosomal RNA
Source: RNAcentral
UACGUAGGGGGCAAGCGUUGUCCGGAAUCAUUGGGCGUAAAGAGCGCGUAGGCGGUCCGAUAAGUCGGUUGUGAAAACUGGGGGCUCAACCCUCAGAGGCCGACCGAUACUGUCGGGCUAGAGUCCGGAAGAGGCGAGUGGAAUUCCUGGUGUAGCGGUGAAAUGCGCAGAUAUCAGGAAGAACACCCGUGGCGAAGGCGGUUCUCUGGGACGGUACUGACGCUGAGACGCGAAAGCGUGGGGAGCGAACAGG